Molecule: long non-coding RNA, 408 nt
Organism: Oncorhynchus tshawytscha (Chinook salmon)
Lineage: Eukaryota; Metazoa; Chordata; Actinopteri; Salmoniformes; Salmonidae
Exons: 2
Source: RefSeq, a predicted model, not a curated record
AACAUUAAACUUCAUCUAGUAAUAGUUUUCCUUUGUUAUUCAUUCCAAUGUGUGUCUUUAACUUCUAAAUGGAUUGUGUGGAGGUGAGCUAGUGGUGUGGCUGAUAGAAUAGAAUGAAAAGGGAGGAUGGGAGGGGAAAUGGGCAGAUAUAUCAGCCCAUGCCAACACCAACCCAAUGCUUUUACAUUUGUGAGGAGUAGUGAAGGAAUCCUACUCUUCAGGAGGAAGGAGAGAUUAUCAGGACGUCCCCAUGGAGUGAUGAAAGAGGGAUGUGAAAGAGGAGAGAGGUAAUGGUUGUACUCCCCCAUGGAGUGAUGAUAGAGGGAUGUGAAAGAGGAGAGAGGUAAUGGUUGUACUGGACUUAUUUAUUCUCUCAUUACUUACUUAUUCUGUUUCAAUAACAUAAUU